CUCCCAAAGUGCUGGGAUUACAGGCAUGAGUCACUGUACCAGCCUGAUUUUGUUUUUUAAUUGUAUUAUCUUAGUUUGGUUUAGGAGUAUGGUUCUGCUAGCCUUAUAAAAUAAAUUGGCAAGCUUAUCAUCUUCUAUGCCCCCCCCCAAAUUUGAAUAAUAAAGGAAUUAGCCGUUUCUGCAAGAUGUGUUGAACUCAUUUAUACAACUAUCUGGGUUUGCUUUGGAAAUAGCUCUUUGAUUGCUUUAUCAAUUUCCUUUAGAGUUAUCUUUUCAGGUUUGCUACUUUCUCAGGAAACAAUUUGGAUAAUUUAUACUUUUCAAGAAAAUCAACCAUUCCCUUUUUCUGAAUAUAUUGCUAUAGAGUUGUACAUAGUAUUUCUUAUAAUUUUUGUAAAACUCCUAAUAUUGUCAAUAGUGCAGUUUUAGUUUCUGACGAUAUAUUUUACCUUCCCUCUCAUCCUCAGAUGAGACUGGCUGUGCUGUUUUGGCAUACAUCUUACAUUUAUAUAUGUUAUAAGCCCCACACUACCUUGUUUUUGUUAGGCAGAUUCUUAAAUAAUAGAAAAUUAUAUAUAAUACUUAAGAAAAAAUAGGAAAAAAAAUCUUACUAUUUACCCCCAUAGUUACCAUUUCUGGAGCUCCUCAUUCCUUUGUGUUAGAUCCAUUUAUCUAUCUGGUAUUAUUAUUCUGCUUGAAAGACUUCCUGUGGUAUUUCCCAUAGGGCAGCUUUGCAGGUGAUGAAAUCUUUUAGCUUUUGUAUAUCUAAAAAAGUCUCUUUCAGCAUUUUGAAAUAUAUUUUGAAGAAUAUUUUGAAAUAUAUAUUUAAAUAAAUUCUAGGUAUAGAAUUCUAAAUUGAUGAGGUUCUUUUCUUUCAAUUCAUAAAAAUAGUUGGUCCAUUGUUCUCUUGAUUAUUUCCCAUAAGGAAAUCUUACACAUAAUGUGUCAUUUUUCUCUAGCUGGUUUUGAGCAAUUGAUUACUAUGUGCCUUGACAUAGUUUUCUUCAUGUUUCUUGUGCUUGGGGUGCAUUGAGCUGCAUGAAUCUGGAGUUUUCACCUGAUUUGAAAACAACUUUAGACAUUUGAAUUUUUUAAUACCAAUUUUCCUCUCCUUUGGAAACUCCAAUGCAUUUAUAUGAGGCUGCGUGAUUUUGUUAUAUAGCUCUCUGGUAGUUUCUUCAAACCUGUAUACUGAUCAGCUGUCUCAUGAAUACGGGAGAAAACCUGCAGGUCUCCGAGAGUUCUCUCCCUGUGCAACUUAUCGCUUUUCAGUGCUGUGUACCGGCCAUUCCAGCUGCCUUUGUUUCGCUGGACUCUCAGCUGUGUCUUCUGAACUCAGUGAGUUUGCCAGGCUCUGCCUGCCCUGUCCCCCAACCCCACACAAUGCAGCCUAAACGUUCCCUCAAGGUAGCACGCAAGGUAAUCAUGCGACUCACUUCAUUUGUUUUCUGUUCCUCUGGGAUCACUGUCCUUUGUUCCUGAUAUCCGUGGUCUUGUUUUACGUAUUUUGCCUUUGUAUUGGGUGGUUCAGGCAGGAGGGUAAAUCUAAUCCCUAUUACUCCAUCUUGGCCAGAAGUUGAAGUUAACCUAUGGAUUUUGAUUUGUAAUGCACUCACUCUUCUUCAUUUUUAAUAGUCUGUAUUUUUAGUUUUGAUUUUUCUCUUUUAACUUUAGAUAUUCAGAGGAGUCUUUAUUUCUAAAUGACCUUUUUUCUCCAUUCUUCUGUUGUGAUUUCUAAUUUCAUGGCUUUGUAGACAGAGAAUGUAACCUAUGUAAUAAAAACCCAUAAAGAGACAAACCAGAUUGCUAACAGGUUGAUAACAGGAUUUUUCUAGGUUGCCUGGCAAUGAGUUAGCUAGGCUGAACCGCUGCUCAAGCACACCUCUCCAGAAGAUGCCAAGAGAGUCUAGACCCACAUCCAACCUCCCUGGCUGAGUCUGUCAUGCACUGUGUGACUCCGGCAUGGCCUCACAUUAGUUGCAUGGUAUUUGCUUCAUGAUUUCUUUUCCCAACUUCUAUAAUGGUUUCAUGGAUGUUUGAAAAAGAUUUGUUUUCUCUGUGUCAAAAUUUUAUCUUUACAAAAUGCUCUCUUACCUGAUAAGAUUUGUAAAUGCAAAAGUCAGACUGAGGGGUCAUUUAAAAAAUAAAACAUUUCUAUGCAUUUUAUUUUAAUGUAAUACACAAAAAUAUACAUUCAGUUGUCAGUCUUUUGAUGCAGGGCCAGGACCUUUUUUUAGUCUUUUAAAAAAAAUCUUGAGUACACUGAUUGGAGUUCAGUCUGCUUUCUUGUAUAAAUCACUACCAGACUACAUUGCCUAUGAUUUCUAAUUUGGGUUUCUUUAUGGUGCAAGGCAAAUGUAGAGAAACUGGUGGAGUAUUCAAGUUUUCCAAGAUUCUCUCUCAAAUCAUUUUACAGUUGUCUUAUGCAUACUUAUCUGACAACAAAUUUCAAAACGAUCCAUCUUUAUUGAAUCUUUACAAAGUAUUCAACUAGUUUUCUAGAAAGAACUACUAUUUUUUACCUUCAUAUUUUAUUAGUUUGUAUAAUAUUUAAAAAUAAAUUAUUAAUAAGAUCUGACAUUAGAAGGUCUGGAAUAACUUGACUGGUGAGAGAAAAAGUGGGUGAAUAUACGAAAGUGGCUUACUCCUCUAGCCUUCGCAUGUCAAGGGCAUUGGCAUUUGUUAUAGAAAGAAUACAGAACAUCAGUUAAUCCAAUGAAUCAGGUAUGUGGCAUUAAAAGAGCUUCUAAUAUGAUACAUAAGGCUUGUUAAUUAUAUUUUUCAAAUUCUUGAUAUUUUUUCUCUUCUUAAUCUCUUAAUUCUGAGAGAGAUGAUUUUACUUCCUCAUUUUUCUCUGAGUAUGUCUGUCAGUUUUUGCCUUGUGUAACUCCAAGCUAUGCUAGUUGCAAAAAGAAUGAUAACAUUUCUUCAUCAUGUACUAUAAACUUUAUCAAUGUAAAUACCCUUGGCCCAUUUUCAUUCUUUUAACUUUUAAUUCUAUUUUGUUUUAUAUUACUAUCAUCAUUUCUUUAUUUUAAUUAAUAUUUGUCUAAUAUGUCUUUGUCUAUUGGUUAAUUUUUAGUACUUCUCUGCCAUUUGAAUUCAGGAGAGUCUCUUAUGUUCUGAUGUAUUCCUGCUAUGCUUUCUUGUAUGUGUAUAUUUGUGAUAUUGAUCACCUUUCUUUGUUCUUUUUCUUUCAUCUACUGCAGCAUUUCAUAACUCUGAGUGCAAACUGUAACCACCUUUCAAAAAGAAAAUAGUGCCUAAACUUUACCCCAAAAUCUCAGAGGAAGAGAGUGAUACCAGUAUUUUUUUUAAAGACUAAUAUUCUGUUAGGGUUGAGAACUCUAGUAUCAUACUAUUUUUAUUCCCAUGGUGCUUCCCCUUAAAUUCUCAGCAAUCACAAACUUGUCAUUUUCUAUCAAUGGACAGACUGAAACAGUUGUAUCAGUCAAGGUCAAAAUCAGAGAAGCAGAACAAAGAGUGAUCUAGAAUAAGAGUCUGAUUCUAGGGAUUCAAACAUUAUGCCACUGGGAUUGCUGGUGGAGUAAUCUGCUGGCCUGCAUGUGGUGCUGGGCCUGAAGUCACCGUGGGUCAGCCAGACUAGCAGUUGGGAAGGAAAGGUGAACAAGAACAAAAGCAGGAACCAACCACAAACUUCUAGAAAAAGAUGGAGCUUACAUCUGUCUUUCAUUACUCCACCUUAUGUGACUUGGAUGGCCUGAGGCCUGCAGGAGUAGCUGGCACCUCUAGCUAUAGGGCUGCACAUAUCUUUGGCCCAGAACACAGAGAAGUUUGAGGAGAUGUGUCAGCAGCUGGAGGAGCUGCUGGUUGGGUGCUGCCACAUGCCAACAAGAUUACUCUAGUUUGAUGUCAUAAUUUCUCAUGGAGUUAAAACUGGACUCUUCAAAAUGAUAGAGUUGUCUGAAUUUGGCUGCAAUGCGAACUACUAAUCGAUUCAAGCUUGUUAUCAAGACACCUAGAGAUCACCAGCGACAGACGGUAAAGCCAAAAGAUCUGUCAUCCUUUAUUCCUUCCCAGACCACUGGAGGGAUGUAAACAGCAGUUAUCAGUUAUCAGCAAUAAACCCUUAUAUCAACAUUUAUCAAGAUAAAGUUUCACAAAACAGGAAGAGAAGAGAUAUCAUUAUUAACCACCACAGGGUGGAAGCAACAAGAGUGUCCAUUAAUGGAUUAAUGUAUACAAAAUGUGAUACAUACAUACAAUGAAAUAUUAUUCAGCUUGAAAAAGGAAGAACAUUCUGACACAUGCUACAACAU
This 4280-nucleotide long non-coding RNA is filed under the name Homo sapiens (human). RNAcentral describes it as "HSALNT0364960". The record is from RNAcentral. Lineage: Eukaryota; Metazoa; Chordata; Mammalia; Primates; Hominidae.